GAAUUUAAAUAUGAUCUAGUUUUGACCCCUCUCAUUGAUUCUUUAAUCACCAAGGUGGAAACAGCUUAUCUGGCUGGCUAGGAGGACGCUCCCUUCCUUGCUCACUGCUCCAUGUGAGGUCUGCCCAAAGCUGUGUGCUCAACAUGGAAGAGGUUAACCUCCCCUGACAGAGGAUGGCAAUGUUUCCAUCAUGGGUAGAGGAGUAGCCACUAGAAUCUCUGAACAGACUCUCAAAACCUCUUCGAGUUUACCUUUCUAUCUGUCUUCCCCUCCACACUUGUUAAAUUUGGAGAGCUUGGGCUGAGUCUAUGUGU
RNAcentral lists this small nuclear RNA (314 nucleotides) under Jaculus jaculus (lesser Egyptian jerboa). Its description in RNAcentral is "7SK RNA (ENSJJAG00000006631.1)". It matches the Rfam family "7SK RNA". From Rfam's summary of the family: 7SK was discovered as an abundant small nuclear RNA in the mid-70s but a possible function has only recently been suggested. Two independent studies have found that 7SK RNA binds the CDK9/cyclin T complex (known as elongation factor P-TEFb). Lineage: Eukaryota; Metazoa; Chordata; Mammalia; Rodentia; Dipodidae. The record is from Rfam by way of RNAcentral.